UGGAAUGUGGCUUAGUGGUAGAGUGUUUGUCUAGUAUGCAAGAAGCCCUGGGUUCGAUUCCUCAGUACCAC
Dipodomys ordii (Ord's kangaroo rat) is the source of this 71-nucleotide non-coding RNA. The record is from Rfam. NCBI's taxonomy places the organism in Eukaryota, Metazoa, Chordata, Mammalia, Rodentia, Heteromyidae.